GUGGAGCAUGUGGCUUAAUUUGACUCAACGCGGGAAAUCUUACCGGGUCCGGACACACUGAGGAUUGACAGGUAUCCAAAACUGACACGCGUGCACUAUCACUAUCACUAUCGCUCUUCACAGGGUGUGUGUGUGUGUGUGUGUGUGCGCGUGUGAGAACCAUGAAAUAUGCUAGUCCUUUCAUGAUUAUGUGAUAGGUGGUGCAUGGCCGUUCUUAGUUCGUGGAGUGAUCUGUCUGCUUAAUUGCGUUUCGCUUAAGGGCCUAACCUAUAGAUUCUAUACGUGCGCAUAUAUCGCACACCCACUCACACUCUGUCAUAGUACCAUAGACCCCAUAACCCUUCAUUGGCGUGCGCGUGUCUGUGAGUAUAGUUGGCGUGUGUGGGUGAGUGUGUGUGUGUGUACUAACGAAUCUUAAUGGGCUCUGAAAGCAACGAACGUGACCGCAACCUCUUGUUGCUUCUAUAUAGCACGCCAUGCAUAUAUGUGCUCUCACCGCUAUGCUAUGCACUAUCACUCUUCACGGGGUGUGCGUGUAUGGCGUAGUGUGUACAUAUGUGUGUGUGGUGUGCUAGCGUGUGGCAUAUAUAUAUAUGCUAUCACUAUCGCUCUUCACUCGGUUCGCUGAGUGUGUGAGUGUGUGUGAUGGUGUGUGUGUGUGUGCUACACAUAUGGAAGCCAACUAGAGGGACCGCUGUGAUUUCCUUUAAGCCAGAGGAAGGUUGCGGCAAUAACAGGUCUGUGAUGCCCUUAGAUGUUCCGGGCUGCACACGUGCUACAAUGAUUGUCGCAGUGAGCAUCUCACACACUGUAAUAUUGUAUUACUCACGCCGCAGCCAGUGCUCUGGCGCUGUGUGCGCAUAUGUAUGUAUGCAUAUAUACUAUCACUAUCACUCUUCACUGAGUGUGCGUGUGUGUAUGUAUGUAUGUAUGUAUAUGCCACACAGUGCUAGCUAGCUGCGCGGUUAAGCCUACCUCGAAAGUAAGCUGGGUAAUCAAUUCGCAGUAGCAAUUUCCGUAUACGCCCAUUCUAGUAGAACUCUCAUACACACAUAUACGCCACUGCGUGUUCUCUCACGAGAUUAUGCAUACGUGUAUGUGUGUGUAUGAAGGUUGGGGCAGUUGUUAAUUCAUAGUGGGGACAGACCAUUGUUAAUUGUUGGUCUCGGUCUUAACUAGGAAUGCCUUGUACGGGUCUUUGGUUCACCAAACCACCCGGAAUACGUCCCUGCCCUUUGUACACACCGCCCGUCGCUCUUACCGAUGGACUUCUCUGUGAGUUUGAGGGACAGGGGCAUACACCCACACACACACACGUAUGCUCUGCGUGUAUGAGUGCGUGCUCUGUAUGCUCUAUGGAAACUUAAACGAACAGUGUGGUCUAAAG
RNAcentral lists this ribosomal RNA (1387 nucleotides) under Foraminiferan sp. X200. RNAcentral describes it as "bacterial SSU rRNA". It matches the Rfam family "Eukaryotic small subunit ribosomal RNA", at positions 1176 to 1778 of the family's 1831-position model. The record is from RNAcentral. Lineage: Eukaryota; Foraminifera.